UAGCAACUUCUAGAACAGCUGACACAGGUC
This 30-nucleotide non-coding RNA is filed under the name Mus musculus (house mouse). Lineage: Eukaryota; Metazoa; Chordata; Mammalia; Rodentia; Muridae. The record is from RNAcentral.